UACGUAGGGCGCUAGCGUUAUUCGGAAUUACUGGGCGUAAAGCGCUCGUAGGCGGCUUUGUACGUUAGAGGUGAAAGCCUGGAGCUCAACUCCAGAACUGCCUUUUAGACUGCAUCGCUUGAAUCCAGGAGAGGUGAGUGGAAUUCCGAGUGUAGAGGUGAAAUUCGUAGAUAUUCGGAAGAACACCAGUGGCGAAGGCGGCUCACUGGACUGGUAUUGACGCUGAGGUGCGAAAGCGUGGGGAGCAAACAGG
RNAcentral lists this ribosomal RNA (253 nucleotides) under uncultured bacterium. RNAcentral's name for it is "partial 16S ribosomal RNA". It matches the Rfam family "Bacterial small subunit ribosomal RNA", at positions 524 to 776 of the family's 1533-position model. The record is from RNAcentral.